RNAcentral lists this transfer RNA (63 nucleotides) under Espanoliella jeanneli. RNAcentral's name for it is "tRNA-Leu". Lineage: Eukaryota; Metazoa; Arthropoda; Insecta; Coleoptera; Leiodidae. The record is from RNAcentral.
UCUAAUAUGGCAGAUUAGUGCAAUGAAUUUAAGCUUCGUAUAUAUGGGUAACCUUUUUUAGAA